RNAcentral lists this ribosomal RNA (530 nucleotides) under Ochrobactrum sp. 3-2. Its description in RNAcentral is "bacterial SSU rRNA". It matches the Rfam family "Bacterial small subunit ribosomal RNA", at positions 136 to 700 of the family's 1533-position model. The record is from RNAcentral. Lineage: Bacteria; Pseudomonadati; Pseudomonadota; Alphaproteobacteria; Hyphomicrobiales; Brucellaceae.
CUACGGAAUAACUCAGGGAAACUUGUGCUAAUACCGUAUACGCCCUUUUGGGGAAAGAUUUAUCGGAGAAUGAUGAGCCCAUGUUGGAUUAGCUAGUUGGUAGGGUAAAGGCCUACCAAGGCGACGAUCCAUAGCUGGUCUGAGAGGAUGAUCAGCCACACUGGGACUGAGACACGGCCCAGACUCCUACGGGAGGCAGCAGUGGGGAAUAUUGGACAAUGGGCGCAAGCCUGAUCCAGCCAUGCCGCGUGAGUGAUGAAGGCCCUAGGGUUGUAAAGCUCUUUCACCGGUGAAGAUAAUGACGGUAACCGGAGAAGAAGCCCCGGCUAACUUCGUGCCAGCAGCCGCGGUAAUACGAAGGGGGCUAGCGUUGUUCGGAUUUACUGGGCGUAAAGCGCACGUAGGCGGACUUUUAAGUCAGGGGUGAAAUCCCGGGGCUCAACCCCGGAACUGCCUUUGAUACUGGAAGUCUUGAGUAUGGAAGAAGUAAGUGGAAUUGCGAGUGUAGAGGUGAAAUUCGUAGAUAUUCG